GCGCGAAAACUUUACAAUGCUGGCAACAGCGAUAAGGGAACCUCGAGUGCCAGGUUACAAAUCUGGCUGUCGAGAUGCCUAAAAAGCAUUUCAUAGCAAGGGCCGGGCAAGACCGGUGCCAGCCGCCGCGGUAACACCGGCGGCUCGAGUGGUAACCGUUAUUAUUGGGUCUAAAGGGUCUGUAGCCGGCCGGAUAAGUCUCUUGAGAAAUCUGGCAGCUUAACUGUCAGGCUUUCAGGAGAUACUGUCUGGCUCGAGGCCGGGAGAGGUGAGAGGUACUUCAGGGGUAGGGGUGAAAUCUUGUAAUCCUUGAAGGACCACCAGUGGCGAAGGCGUCUCACCAGAACGGACCUGACGGCAAGGGACGAAAGCUAGG
Molecule: ribosomal RNA, 376 nt
Filed under: uncultured bacterium
Lineage: Bacteria
Description: bacterial SSU rRNA
Rfam family: Archaeal small subunit ribosomal RNA
Source: RNAcentral